Molecule: ribosomal RNA, 218 nt
Filed under: uncultured Aspergillus
Lineage: Eukaryota; Fungi; Ascomycota; Eurotiomycetes; Eurotiales; Aspergillaceae
Description: partial 28S ribosomal RNA
Rfam family: Eukaryotic large subunit ribosomal RNA
Source: RNAcentral
CCACCGAGGCUGCUCAGUACGGCGAGUGGGCGGCAAGAGCUCAAAUUUGAAAGCUGGCUCCUUCGGGGUCCGCAUUGUAAUUUGCAGAGGAUGCUUCGGGUGCGGCCCCUGUCUAAGUGCCCUGGAACGGGCCGUCAGAGAGGGUGAGAAUCCCGUCUGGGAUGGGGUGUCCGCGCCCGUGUGAAGCUCCUUCGACGAGUCGAGUUGUUUGGGAAUAA